GGUUAAGUGACUAAGCGUACACGGUGGAUGCCUAGGCAGUCAGAGGCGAUGAAGGGCGUGCUAAUCUGCGAAAAGCGUCGGUAAGGUGAUAUGAACCGUUACAACCGGCGAUACCCGAAUGGGGAAACCCAGUGUGUUUCGACACACUAUCAUGUCAUGAAUACAUAGUGGCAUGAGGCGAACCGGGGGAACUGAAACAUCUAAGUACCCCGAGGAAAAGAAAUCAACCGAGAUUCCCCCAGUAGCGGCGAGCGAACGGGGAGGAGCCCAGAACCUGAAUCGGCUUGUGUGUUAGUGGAAGCGUCUGGAAAGUCGCGCAGCAAAGGGUGAUAGCCCCGUACACUAAAAUGCACAGGUCGUGAGUUCGAUGAGUAGGGCGGGACACGUGACAUCCUGUCUGAAUAUGGGGGGACCAUCCUCCAAGGCUAAAUACUCCUGACUGACCGAUAGUGAACCAGUACCGUGAGGGAAAGGCGAAAAGAACCCCGGCGAGGGGGAGUGAAAUAGAACCUGAAACCGUGUACGUACAAGCAGUGGGAGCACCUUCGUGGUGUGACUGCGUACCUUUUGUAUAAUGGGUCAGCGACUUAUAUUUUGUAGCAAGGUUAACCGUAUAGGGGAGCCGUAGGGAAACCGAGUCUUAACUGGGCGAAUAGUUGCAAGGUAUAGACCCGAAACCCGGUGAUCUAGCCAUGGGCAGGUUGAAGGUUGGGUAACACUAACUGGAGGACCGAACCGACUAAUGUUGAAAAAUUAGCGGAUGACUUGUGGCUGGGGGUGAAAGGCCAAUCAAACCGGGAGAUAGCUGGUUCUCCCCGAAAGCUAUUUAGGUAGCGCCUCGUGAACUCAUCUUCGGGGGUAGAGCACUGUUUCGGCUAGGGGGCCAUCCCGGCUUACCAAACCGAUGCAAACUCCGAAUACCGAAGAAUGUUAUCACGGGAGACACACGGCGGGUGCUAACGUCCGUCGUGAAGAGGGAAACAACCCAGACCGCCAGCUAAGGUCCCAAAGUCAUGGUUAAGUGGGAAACGAUGUGGGAAGGCAUAGACAGCCAGGAUGUUGGCUUAGAAGCAGCCAUCAUUUAAAGAAAGCGUAAUAGCUCACUGGUCGAGUCGGCCUGCGCGGAAGAUGUAACGGGGCUAAACCAUGCACCGAAGCUGCGGCAGCGACGUUUAGGCGUUGUUGGGUAGGGGAGCGUUCUGUAAGCCGUUGAAGGUGGCCUGUGAGGGUUGCUGGAGGUAUCAGAAGUGCGAAUGCUGACAUAAGUAACGAUAAAGCGGGUGAAAAGCCCGCUCGCCGGAAGACCAAGGGUUCCUGUCCAACGUUAAUCGGGGCAGGGUGAGUCGACCCCUAAGGCGAGGCUGAAAAGCGUAGUCGAUGGGAAACAGGUUAAUAUUCCUGUACUUGGUGUUACUGCGAAGGGGGGACGGAGAAGGCUAGGCUAGCCGGGCGACGGUUGUCCCGGUUUAAGCGUGUAGGGGGUGUGACCUGGUAAAUCCGGUUGCAUAUCAACCCUGAGGCGUGAUGACGAUGCACUACGGUGCAGAAGUAGUUGAUGCCCUGCUUCCAGGAAAAGCCUCUAAGCUCUAGGUAACAUUAAAUCGUACCCCAAACCGACACAGGUGGUCAGGUAGAGAAUACCAAGGCGCUUGAGAGAACUCGGGUGAAGGAACUAGGCAAAAUGGUGCCGUAACUUCGGGAGAAGGCACGCUGGCAUGUAGGUGAAGUCCUUCGCGGAUGGAGCUGAAGCCAGUCGAAGAUACCAGCUGGCUGCAACUGUUUAAUAAAAACACAGCACUGUGCAAACACGAAAGUGGACGUAUACGGUGUGACGCCUGCCCGGUGCUGGAAGGUUAAUUGAUGGGGUCAGCCGCAAGGCGAAGCUCUUGAUCGAAGCCCCAGUAAACGGCGGCCGUAACUAUAACGGUCCUAAGGUAGCGAAAUUCCUUGUCGGGUAAGUUCCGACCUGCACGAAUGGCGUAAUGAUGGCCAGGCUGUCUCCACCCGAGACUCAGUGAAAUUGAACUCGCUGUGAAGAUGCAGUGUACCCGCGGCAAGACGGAAAGACCCCGUGAACCUUUACUAUAGCUUGACACUGAACAUUGAGCCUUGAUGUGUAGGAUAGGUGGGAGGCUUUGAAGCGUGGACGCCAGUCUGCGUGGAGCCAUCCUUGAAAUACCACCCUUUAAUGUUUGAUGUUCUAACUCGGCCCCAUAAUCUGGGGUGAGGACAGUGUCUGGUGGGUAGUUUGACUGGGGCGGUCUCCUCCCAAAGAGUAACGGAGGAGCACGAAGGUUAGCUAAUCACGGUCGGACAUCGUGAGGUUAGUGCAAAGGCAUAAGCUAGCUUGACUGCGAGAGUGACGGCUCGAGCAGGUACGAAAGUAGGUCUUAGUGAUCCGGUGGUUCUGAAUGGAAGGGCCAUCGCUCAACGGAUAAAAGGUACUCCGGGGAUAACAGGCUGAUACCGCCCAAGAGUUCAUAUCGACGGCGGUGUUUGGCACCUCGAUGUCGGCUCAUCACAUCCUGGGGCUGAAGUAGGUCCCAAGGGUAUGGCUGUUCGCCAUUUAAAGUGGUACGCGAGCUGGGUUUAGAACGUCGUGAGACAGUUCGGUCCCUAUCUGCCGUGGGCGUUGGAAGAUUGAGAGGGGUUGCUCCUAGUACGAGAGGACCGGAGUGAACGCACCACUGGUGUUCGGGUUGUCAUGCCAAUGGCAUUGCCCGGUAGCUAAGUGCGGAAAAGAUAAGCGCUGAAAGCAUCUAAGCGCGAAACUUGCCUCAAGAUGAGUCUUCCCUGGGCCUUUAAGGCCCCUGAAGGAACGUUUAAGACUAAGACGUUGAUAGGCUGGGUGUGUAAGUGCAGCGAUGCAUUGAGCUAACCAGUACUAAUGAUCCGUGAGGCUUAACCUU
RNAcentral lists this ribosomal RNA (2909 nucleotides) under Serratia nevei. RNAcentral describes it as "23S ribosomal RNA". It matches the Rfam family "Bacterial large subunit ribosomal RNA". Lineage: Bacteria; Pseudomonadati; Pseudomonadota; Gammaproteobacteria; Enterobacterales; Yersiniaceae. The record is from RNAcentral.